This 238-nucleotide long non-coding RNA is filed under the name Lathyrus oleraceus (garden pea). RNAcentral describes it as "Pisum sativum (pea) long non-coding RNA (PSAT_LNC027386)". Lineage: Eukaryota; Viridiplantae; Streptophyta; Magnoliopsida; Fabales; Fabaceae. The record is from RNAcentral.
UGGAGAAAAUCGAGUAAGGCUCGUUUGGUUUUCCAUUCGUCGAUUUGGUUUGUUAUGGAGGAUGAAGGUGUGAAGGGUGUACGGUGAGGUUGAGUUGAUGCGGUGGUAGGAGAGUGAGGUCUUUGUCUAUUUCUAGGGUUGCUGUUGGGGGAUUAGGUUUAGAUUUUCUUGCUCCUCCAUUUUCAUCUUCAUGCUCAUCACUCAGUCACUCGCUGACUAAACUGGUGUUAUUUUCUUC